CUAGGAAGUCGGAUGAUACCCUGAAGUAUGCGCAAGCUUAACUUCAGGGAGGAAAGUCCAGACAGCAUAGAGCAGGGUGUCCGGUGUAAGCCGGAGGUCGUAAGACCCAGUUAGAGUAACAGUGACGAAUCCUGAGAGUAAUCGAAGGAGUGAAACGCCGAAAUCGCAAGAAAGUAGGUCCCGCGGAGCCCAUAAGGGCGAAGUGGGAGGCAAUCCUCCCCGCUGCAAUCCUAGAUUGAGUUGGUUUGCUCGGCCAAUAACUCAAAUCAGGAGCACCAGUUAAAACCUGGUCAGUGUGACUUUAAAAAUCAUAUUGAAGAUAGAUUUCAUCAAUCUUUCAGUUUAUGGAGAUAAUCUGGAAGAGUAACAGAAUCUGGCUUACACGCUUCCUAGGCAC
This 397-nucleotide RNase P RNA is filed under the name Candidatus Daviesbacteria bacterium. RNAcentral's name for it is "RNase P RNA component class A". It matches the Rfam family "Bacterial RNase P class A". Rfam says of the family: Ribonuclease P (RNase P) is a ubiquitous endoribonuclease, found in archaea, bacteria and eukarya as well as chloroplasts and mitochondria. Its best characterised activity is the generation of mature 5'-ends of tRNAs by cleaving the 5'-leader elements of precursor-tRNAs. Cellular RNase Ps are ribonucleoproteins. The record is from RNAcentral. Lineage: Bacteria; Candidatus Daviesiibacteriota.